Papaver somniferum (opium poppy) is the source of this 1363-nucleotide long non-coding RNA. RefSeq lists it as uncharacterized. The record is from RefSeq and is a predicted model, not a curated record. The transcript is spliced from 4 exons. Lineage: Eukaryota; Viridiplantae; Streptophyta; Magnoliopsida; Ranunculales; Papaveraceae.
GCUUCUUUCUCUCUAACUUAUUCUCUGCAAAUGUUGAAGAUGGAGAUUUAGUGUUCGUAUGAAGAUAGAAAUUUAGAGAUGAUGUUGUUACAACGAGUACUACUAGUUCUUUUAUGUUUUCUGAAAAUCGCACCACAACAGUUUGUGAUUCUCAAAUUUAGAGAUGAUGUUUCACUAAGAGAAAACGUAAAAUUGGUGACGCACAAAUGCCAGGAGACGUGAACAGACUUUGAUGGAGGUGAAGAUGAACCAAGUUGUUAGUUUCUGUUGCUGCUGUUGUAGUGGUUUGAAAGAUGUUGUGGUGGUAAUGAACCAGAUUGUUGUGGUGGUUUUAGAUGCUGUUGCUGCUAGUUUUGAAGAUGUUGAUGGAUAGGAGACACUGCCAAUGUCUUUUGUUACUUCCCUACUCAGGCCUUGAACUUUGCAUUUAAGGAUUACUUCAAGAGACUCUUUAGUUUCAAGAAGGACAGAGAUGCUACUGGAAAUGGUUUACUGGUAACUUGGCGUCUGGAGGUGCUGCUGGUGCUUCUUCGCUUCUCUUUGUAUACUCUCUUGAUUACGCUAGAACCCAUCUUGCCAAUGACGCCAAGUAUGCAAAGAAGGGAGGAGAGAGAUGGUUCAAUGGUUUGGUUGAUGUCUACAUGAAGACUAUUAAAUCUGAUGGAAGUGCUGGGCUUUACCGUGUAUUCAACAUUUCAUGUGUUGGAAUCAUUGUCUACCGUGGUUUUUACUUCGGAUUGUAAGAUUCUCUAAAGCCAGUUCUUUUGACCGGGGACCUUUCAAUAGUUUCAUGGCCAGUUUCGCUGCAAUGGACCAAAUGCUUGUAUUUUGAAGAUGCAGUUGGUUUUGAUGAUGUCGAUGGAGGUGGGAAUGAUGUUGGUGCUAGCGGUAGUGGCUUUGAUGUUGAUGGUUGUUGCUGCUAGUGGUGGUGGUUUUGAUGUUGGAGGUGGAAAUGUUGCUGGUGGUGGUUUUGAAGAUUGAUAGAGGUGGAAAUGAGCUAAAUGUUGUUGCUGGAUGUAAUGGUUCAUGGCAUUCAUAACAUAACCCAUGGCUUGCUCCUAAAGGUUCACCAUUCCAGAUCCAGGGUCUACUGGUGCCAUAUAUUUCUGGUUAACUGUGGUUAAGCUGCUUGAGUUAUAAGACAAGGGUAUUUUGGGGAAAAUUCGAGACCGUUUUUUUGCAAACUGUUAAGUCGGAUGGAUGAUGACCAUUUUGUAAACCAAAUCAUAAAGUAUGAUCAUUUUGUAAAGAAAUUAGAAAAAGUAUGACCAUUUUGUAAUUGGCCCUUGUUCUUUCGGGAAUGACAUUUUAUGGGGGAGAGUUCUUAAUUGAACUUGUGUUUAAUUGCCAAAUCUUUAUGGGG